AUCCUGCCGGAGGUUACUGCUAUCGAGGUUCGACUAAGCCAUGCGAGUCGAAUGUAGCAAUACAUGGCGUACUGCUCAGUAACACGUGGACAACCUACCCUUAGGCCGGGGAUAAACCCGGGAAACUGGGUAUAAUACCCGAUAGUCCUCGACUGCUGGAAUGCAUCGAGGACUAAAGCUCCGGCGCCUAAGGAUGGGUCUGCGGCCUAUCAGGUAGUAGUGGGUGUAGCGUACCUACUAGCUACGACGGGUACGGGUUGUGAGAGCAAGAGCCCGGAGAUGGAUUCUGAGACACGAAUCCAGGCCCUACGGGGUGCAGCAGGCGCGAAAACUUUACAAUGCUGGAAACAGCGAUAAGGGGACCUCGAGUGCCAGGUUACAAAUCUGGCUGUCGUGAUGCCUAAAAAGCAUUGCAUAGCAAGGGCCGGGCAAGACCGGUGCCAGCCGCCGCGGUAACACCGGCGGCUCGAGUGGUAACCGUUAUUAUUGGGUCUAAAGGGUCUGUAGCCGGCCGGAUAAGUCUCUUGGGAAAUCUGGCAGCUUAACUGUCAGGCUUUCAGGAGAUACUGUCUGGCUCGAGGCCGGGAGAGGUGAGAGGUACUUCAGGGGUAGGGGUGAAAUCUUGUAAUCCUUGAAGGACCACCAGUGGCGAAGGCGUCUCACCAGAACGGACCUGACGGCAAGGGACGAAAGCUAGGGGCACGAACCGGAUUAGAUACCCGGGUAGUCCUAGCCGUAAACGAUACUCGCUAGGUGUCGGCCACGGUGCGACCGUUGUCGGUGCCGUAGGGAAGCCGUGAAGCGAGCCACCUGGGAAGUACGGCCGCAAGGCUGAAACUUAAAGGAAUUGGCGGGGGAGCACCACAACGGGUGGAGCUUGCGGUUUAAUUGGAUCAACGCCGGAA
This 905-nucleotide ribosomal RNA is filed under the name uncultured archaeon. RNAcentral's name for it is "bacterial SSU rRNA". It matches the Rfam family "Archaeal small subunit ribosomal RNA", at positions 11 to 923 of the family's 1478-position model. The record is from RNAcentral.